AUAUAUAUAUAGGAGGAGA
This 19-nucleotide small nuclear RNA is filed under the name Arabidopsis thaliana (thale cress). RNAcentral's name for it is "snRNA_04637". Lineage: Eukaryota; Viridiplantae; Streptophyta; Magnoliopsida; Brassicales; Brassicaceae. The record is from RNAcentral.